UACGUAGGGUCCGAGCGUUGUCCGGAUUUAUUGGGCGUAAAGAGCUCGUAGGCGGUUUCGUAAGUCGGAUGUGAAAACUCAGGGCUCAACCCGGAGACGCCAUCUGAUACUGCGAUGACUGGAGUCUGGUAGGGGAUCACGGAAUACCUGGUGUAGAGGUGAAAUGCGCAGAUAUCAGGUGGAACACCGAUGGCGAAGGCAGUGAUCUGGGCCAGUACUGACGCUGAGGAGCGAAAGCGUGGGGAGCAAACAGG
RNAcentral lists this ribosomal RNA (254 nucleotides) under uncultured bacterium. Its description in RNAcentral is "partial 16S ribosomal RNA". It matches the Rfam family "Bacterial small subunit ribosomal RNA", at positions 524 to 776 of the family's 1533-position model. The record is from RNAcentral.